This 253-nucleotide ribosomal RNA is filed under the name uncultured bacterium. RNAcentral describes it as "partial 16S ribosomal RNA". It matches the Rfam family "Bacterial small subunit ribosomal RNA", at positions 524 to 776 of the family's 1533-position model. The record is from RNAcentral.
UACAGAGGUCUCAAGCGUUGUUCGGAUUCAUUGGGCGUAAUGGGUGCGUAGGCGGCGCGGUAAGUCGGGUGUGAAAUCUCGGAGCUUAACUCCGAAACUGCAUUCGAUACUGCCGUGCUUGAGGACUGGAGAGGAGACUGGAAUUUACGGUGUAGCGGUGAAAUGCGUAGAUAUCGUAAGGAAGACCAGUGGCGAAGGCGGGGCUCUGGACAGUUCCUGACGCUGAGGCACGAAGGUCAGGGGAGCAAACGGG